Small nucleolar RNA from Malania oleifera, 106 nucleotides. NCBI's taxonomy places the organism in Eukaryota, Viridiplantae, Streptophyta, Magnoliopsida, Santalales, Ximeniaceae. The record is from RefSeq and is a predicted model, not a curated record.
ACUUGAUAAUGUGGGCAUUUACGGGGCAAGUCCCUAAAGCGCUCCCAAGUCUCGAAAAAGAGUUCCCCAUCCAUCUGUGAAAAACUCGUGAUGGCCUUCUGAAGCU